UAAGGUUUCCUGCGUCAAGUUAAUCUGCGCAGGGUUAGUCUGUACCUAAGGCGAGGCCGAGAGGCGUAGUCGAUGGAGAUCCGGUUAAUAUUCCGGAACCAUGGGUAUGUGAUGUGGGUUGACGCAACAGGGUAAGCAAGACAGCUGAUGGAUGCUGUUGAAGUAAAUAGGCCGUCGUUUAGGCAAAUCCGGACGACACAAGGCUAAAUAAGCAGACGAAAGUACAGAGCUUCGGCUCCGGAACAAGUUGCUGACCCCAGUUGCCAAGAAAAUUCCCGUUCAUCUAUACAUACCCCACUGGCAGUACCGCAAACCGACACAGGUAGGUGGGAUGAGAAUUCUAAGGUGCUUGUGAGAACCCUCGUUCAGGAACUCGGCAAAAUGUAACCGUAACUUCGGGAGAAGGUUAGCCCUGUCAACCAAUGGCAGGGUCGCAGAGAAAUGUUUCAGGCGACUGUUUAACAAAAACACAGGUCUCCGCAAAGUUGUAAAGACAACGUAUGGGGGCUGACGCCUGCCCAAUGCUGGAAGGUUAAGAGGAGUGGUUAGCGUAAGCGAAGCUGCGAAUCGAAGCCCCAGUGAAUGGCGGCCGUAACGAUAACGGUCCUAAGGUAGCGAAAUUCCUUGUCGGGUAAGUUCCGACCUGCACGAAUGGCGUAACGAUCUGAAAGCUGUCUUAACGAGGGACACAGCGAACUUGUAGUACCGGUGAAGAUGCCGGUUUCCCGCAUCUAGACGGAAAGACCCCGUGCACCUUGACUACAACUUGAUAGUGAUUUCGGGUAAAUAAUGCGCAGCAUAGGUGGGAGGCUUUGAUAUCAGACUUUUGGGUUUGGUGGAGCCACCGGUGAGAUACCACCCUUUAUUUAUUUGGACUCUAACCUCGACCCGUAAUCCGGGCCAGGGACAUUAUCAGGCGGGUAGUUUGACUGGGGCGGUCGCCUCCUAAAGAGUAACGGAGGCGCUCGAAGGUUGGCUCAGGCUGUUUGGAAAUCAGCCGCAGAGUGUAAACGCAUAAGCCAGCUUAACUGCGAGACAUACACGUCGAGCAGGUACGAAAGUAGGAGUUAGUGAUCCGGCGGUCGCUUAUGGAAGUGCCGUCGCUCAACGGAUAAAAGGUACGCCGGGGAUAACAGGCUGAUCCUGCCCAAGAGUUCACAUCGACGGCAGGGUUUGGCACCUCGAUGUCGGCUCAUCAUAUCCUGGGGCUGAAGAAGGUCCCAAGGGUUCGGCUGUUCGCCGAUUAAAAUGGUACGUGAGCUGGGUUCAGAACGUCGCGAGACAGUUCGGUCCCUAUCUGGUGUGGGCGCAGCAAUAUUGAAGGAAUCUGACCUUAGUACGAGAGGACCGGGUUGGGUUGACCUCUAGUGUACGUGUUAUGGCGCCAGCCGUAUCGCACGGUAGCUAUGUCGAGCAUGGAUAAACGCUGAAUGCAUCUAAGCGUGAAGCCAGUCCUAAGAUUAAUAUUGCCAGUGAGACUCGUGGAAGACCACCACGUUGAUAGGCUAGAGAUGUAAGUGCAGUAAUGUAUUUAGUUGACUAGUACUAAUUGUCCCAAGGCUUGACC
RNAcentral lists this ribosomal RNA (1567 nucleotides) under metagenome. Its description in RNAcentral is "bacterial LSU rRNA". It matches the Rfam family "Bacterial large subunit ribosomal RNA", at positions 1346 to 2925 of the family's 2925-position model. The record is from RNAcentral.